RNAcentral lists this unclassified non-coding RNA (401 nucleotides) under Hevea brasiliensis (rubber tree). The record is from RNAcentral. Lineage: Eukaryota; Viridiplantae; Streptophyta; Magnoliopsida; Malpighiales; Euphorbiaceae.
UAAUUCAGUGACUCAAAAAUGGUUUAGUGAUGUAAACUGUGUGCGCGAUCACAUGUGAAGAUUUAAAGACAAGGAAAGAGAAAAGUCUGGUGGUGAUCCAAAGAGAAGAGGCUGGCUGGCUAAAAGUGUGGUGGUGAUCCAAAUGUGAAGAUUUAAAGACGAGGGAGGGCAGGGGAAAGUGGAGGCGGCUUAAACAUGCAAGUUGUAAAACCAUGUCGAAACUGCACUAGAUGCCAUUCGUGCAUUUCGCCUGCGGCCAUUCAUAAAUCCACAAGCUCAUAUUUGUUAUUACUUUCUCUUGUAUGUUUAUAAUAAAAUGUAGAUUAGCUUCCCUUUGUUUAGUUGAAGAAAGAAAACCGCCAAUUUUUUAAGAAAUAUAAACCAAGAAACUCAAGCAAUGU